Long non-coding RNA from Myotis lucifugus (little brown bat), 980 nucleotides. RefSeq lists it as uncharacterized. Lineage: Eukaryota; Metazoa; Chordata; Mammalia; Chiroptera; Vespertilionidae. The transcript is spliced from 3 exons. The record is from RefSeq and is a predicted model, not a curated record.
CAGGUUUGGUGUAUUUGUGGAACAGGACAAUCACGUCCUCACCUUCUCCUCACUGCCUCCUCAUCAGCUUUGCUUCCUUGAAAACCAAGAUGAGCCAUACUCCAGUUGAACAGUCCGUGAUGGACUUGAUUGUCCCGUUCCACAAAUACACAAAAUCUGAUGACAUGAUUGACAAGCCGGGCCUGCUGAAGAUGCUGAAGGAGAAUUUCCCAAACUUCCUCAAGGCUUGUCUCAGGUGACCAGGGAUUUUGACCUCUGACCUCAUGUUCCUGUGGGGAUCAGCCACCCUGUCUGGUGAGGUAUGUGGAAAGGGCCCAGGGCAGUCUCUGGUUGUGAAAGUCUUGGGUGUUUAAGGAAUAAGUAGGGGAUGAGCCCAUGUUUCAGGGACCAACUUCAAAACAGCCCUGUUUAUUGUCAGAGAAAUUACUGUUUGCAACAAUUGUGACUAACAGCCAAGUCCACCCCAGCAUCUCCCAUAUAACUCACCACCACCAGAAAGGCUGAAGGUAUCUUGCAAUCCCUGAACCAAAAUUCCUUUGGCAACACAUGCUACACAUCCAGGUCAGUCACUUGGAACCAUGUCGCAAGCAUUUACUGUUUAUCCUGAGCCUCUCUUUCAUUCAUCCCAAUGGAUUCUGGACCCCAGCUGUCCUUGGCUGUUUGGAGCUGAGAUCUGUACCAUUUGUUCAAGGUACAAAAUUUAAUGAGAGCCCACUGAGCACCACUCACUGUACUUUAGGAUGAACAUAAUGGCAAGAAAAAUUUUUAAAGAAUUUAUCUCCCCCUCAAUUCUCCCACUUUAGAAGUGAAGAUAAAAAGAAUAAAAUAGAAACUGUGGAUGUUGGAGAUGUACAAUGACACAGUCUAUAACCCAAGAAGAGAGGGUUAACUUUUGGGGGAGGAGAGAUGGAUAGGCCAAGGAAUUAAAAUAAAUUGGGCCCAGCUAGCAUGGCUCAGUGGUUGAGCAUCAACCUAUGAAC